GGCUCGGUGGUGUAGUUGGUUAUCACGUCAGUCUCACAGCCUCACCUGUGCGACCACUGAAGGUCCCGAGUUCGAACCUCGGCUGAGUCA
This 90-nucleotide transfer RNA is filed under the name Paraphaeosphaeria sporulosa. Its description in RNAcentral is "tRNA-Val". Lineage: Eukaryota; Fungi; Ascomycota; Dothideomycetes; Pleosporales; Didymosphaeriaceae. The record is from RNAcentral.